CAAUAGCGUAUACUAAUGUUGUUGCAGUUAAAAAGCUCGUAGUUGAACUUCUGGUAGGAGUGUCCCGGCCUUUUUGUUUUUACAAAUUGUAUGCUGUGUGACAUCUCUGGCCAUCCUUCUUCUUUGUUUAAAGAAGAUCUUUCACUGUAAAAAAAUUAGGGUGUUCAAAGCAAAAGUUUCUUUGGAAUAUAUUAGUAUGGGAUGAUAAGAUAGGCUCUAGAUGCUAUUUUGUUGGUUUGCACAUUUAGAGAAUGAUUAACAGGGACAGUUGGGGGUAUUCGUAUUUACAUGUCAGUGGUGAAAUUCUUGGAUUUUGGAAAGACGAACUACUGCGAAAGCAUUUACCAAGGAUGUUUUCAUUAA
Molecule: ribosomal RNA, 363 nt
Filed under: uncultured eukaryote
Lineage: Eukaryota
Description: partial 18S ribosomal RNA
Rfam family: Eukaryotic small subunit ribosomal RNA
Source: RNAcentral